UGGGGAAUUUUGGACAAUGGGCGAAAGCCUGAUCCAGCAAUACCGCGUGUGUGAAGAAGGCCUUCGGGUUGUAAAGCACUUUUGUCCGGAAAGAAAUCCUUGGCUCUAAUACAGUCGGGGGAUGACGGUACCGGAAGAAUAAGCACCGGCUAACUACGUGCCAGCAGCCGCGGUAAUACGUAGGGUGCAAGCGUUAAUCGGAAUUACUGGGCGUAAAGCGUGCGCAGGCGGUUUGCUAAGACCGAUGUGAAAUCCCCGGGCUCAACCUGGGAACUGCAUUGGUGACUGGCAGGCUAGAGUAUGGCAGAGGGGGGUAGAAUUCCACGUGUAGCAGUGAAAUGCGUAGAGAUGUGGAGGAAUACCGAUGGCGAAGGCAGCCCCCUGGGCCAAUACUGACGCUCAUGCACGAAAGCGUGGGGAGCAAACAGGAUUAGAUACCCUGGUAGUCCACGCCCUAAACGAUGUCAACUAGUUGUUGGGGAUUCAUUUCCUUAGUAACGUAGCUAACGCGUGAAGUUGACCGCCUGGGGAGUACGGUCGCAAGAUUAAAACUC
This 554-nucleotide ribosomal RNA is filed under the name uncultured bacterium. Its description in RNAcentral is "partial 16S ribosomal RNA". It matches the Rfam family "Bacterial small subunit ribosomal RNA", at positions 355 to 902 of the family's 1533-position model. The record is from RNAcentral.